This 275-nucleotide ribosomal RNA is filed under the name uncultured bacterium. Its description in RNAcentral is "partial 16S ribosomal RNA". It matches the Rfam family "Bacterial small subunit ribosomal RNA", at positions 399 to 691 of the family's 1533-position model. The record is from RNAcentral.
GCGUGAGUGAUGAAGGCCUUAGGGUUGUAAAGCUCUUUUACCCGGGAUGAUAAUGACAGUACCGGGAGAAUAAGCCCCGGCUAACUUCGUGCCAGCAGCCGCGGUAAUACGAAGGGGGCUAGCGUUGUUCGGAAUUACUGGGCGUAAAGCGUGCGCAGGCGGCCAUCCAAGUCAGUGGUGAAAGCCCGGAGCUCAACUCCGGAAUUGCCUUUAAAACUGCAUCGCUAGAAUUGUGGAGAGGUAAGUGGAAUUCCGAGUGUAGAGGUGAAAUUCGU